RNAcentral lists this ribosomal RNA (1479 nucleotides) under uncultured Mycoplasma sp. RNAcentral describes it as "bacterial SSU rRNA". It matches the Rfam family "Bacterial small subunit ribosomal RNA". Lineage: Bacteria; Bacillati; Mycoplasmatota; Mollicutes; Mycoplasmatales; Mycoplasmataceae. The record is from RNAcentral.
GUUUGAUCCUGGCUCAGGAUGAACGCUGGCUGUGUGCCUAAUACAUGCAUGUCGAACGAAGUACUUGUACUUAGUGGCAAAUGGGUGAGUAACACGUACCUAACUUGCCUUUUAGAUUGGGACAACCACGGGAAACUGUGGCUAAUACCAAAUAUGUAUAAAAAACAUAUGUUUUUUAUAUGAAAGGAAGCGAUUGCUUUGCUAAAAGAUAGGGGUGCGCUACAUUAGCUUGUUGGUAGGGUAAAAGCCUACCAAGGCUAUGAUGUAUAGUGGGAUCGAGAGGUUGAACCACCACACUGGGAUUGAGAUACGGCCCAGACUCCUACGGGAGGCAGCAGUAGGGAAUAUUCCACAAUGAGCGAAAGCUUGAUGGAGCGACACAGCGUGUAGGAUGAAUGCCUUAGGGUUGUAAACUACUGUUAUAAGAGAAGAAUAGCUAAAAAAGGAAAUGUUUUUAGUCUGACGGUAUCUUAUCAGAAAGCAGUUGCAAACUAUGUGCCAGCAGCAGCGGUAAUACAUAGACUGCAAGCGUUAUCCGGAAUUAUUGGGCGUAAAGCAUUCGUAGGUUGUUUAUUAAGUUUGGUGUUAAAAACAAAAGCUCAACUUUUGUCUGCAUUAAAUACUAAUAGACUAGAGUUAUAAAGAGGUUAAUGGAACUCCAUAUGAAGCGGUGGAAUGCGUAGAUAUGUGGAAGAACACCAAUGGCGAAGGCAAUUAACUGGAUAUACACUGACACUGAGGGAUGAAAGCGUGGGGAGCAAACAGGAUUAGAUACCCUGGUAGUCCACGCUGUAAACGAUGUUUGUUAAUCGGUGGUGAAAUCACUGAUACAGCUAACGCAAUAAACAAACCGCCUGAGUAGUAUGCUCGCAAGAGUGAAACUUAAAGGAAUUGACGGGGAGCCGCACAAGCGGUGGAGCAUGUGGUUUAAUUCGACGCUACGCGAAGCACCUUACCAACAUUUGACAUCUUUUGCAAAGGCAUAGAGAUAUGCUGGAGGAUAACAAAAAGACAGGUGGUGCAUGGCCGUCGUCAGCUCGUGCCGUGAGGUGUUGGGUUAAGUCCUAUAACGAGCGCAACCCUUUUCUUUAGUUACUAACAUUUAGUUGAGCACUCUAAAGAUACUGCCUAGGUAACUAGGAGGAAGGAGGGGAUGAGGUAGGUCAUCAUGCCUCUUACAUGUUGGGUUACACACGUGCUACAAUGGCAAAUACAAAGAGAAGCAAAAUCGUGAGGUGGAGCAAAUCUGUAAAAUUUGUCUCAGUUCGGAUUGGAGUCUGCAACUCGACUCCAUGAAGUAGGAAUCGCUAGUAAUCCUAGAUCAUCAAUGCUAGGGUGAAUACGUUCUCGGCUCUUGUACACACCGCCCGUCAAACCAUGGGAGUUGGUAAUACCCAAAGCUAGUUAGUUAACCAUUUAUUUGGAGGCAACUAUCUAAGGUAGGAUCAAUGACUGGGGUUAAGUCGUAACAAGGUAACC